UACGUAGGUGGCAAGCGUUGUUCGGAAUUAUUGGGCGUAAAGGGCGCGUAGGCGGUUUGUUAAGUCGGCUGUGAAAGCCCGGGGCUCAACCCCGGAGGGUCAGCCGAUACUGGCAGACUAGAGUACGGAAGAGGUAGCUGGAAUUCCCGGUGUAGCGGUGAAAUGCGUAGAGAUCCGGCGGAACACCGGUGGUGAAGGCGGUCUCCUGGGCCGAGGGCAGACGCUGAUGCGCGAGAGCGUGGGGAGCGAACCGG
Molecule: ribosomal RNA, 254 nt
Filed under: uncultured bacterium
Lineage: Bacteria
Description: partial 16S ribosomal RNA
Rfam family: Bacterial small subunit ribosomal RNA
Source: RNAcentral